Non-coding RNA from Anguilla rostrata (American eel), 1067 nucleotides. NCBI's taxonomy places the organism in Eukaryota, Metazoa, Chordata, Actinopteri, Anguilliformes, Anguillidae. The record is from the annotation of a RefSeq genome assembly.
CCUCACUGCUCCACACACUUUAAGACCCCCAGUACUGAUCAGUGACUGUCCAGUCCUUUCACAGACACUGACACAGGCAGCAUUAUGAUGAUGUCAAACUUUUUACUGCUGGUGAUGCUGGGACUCCUUGUACAAGAAUCAAUGGCAGAUAUAGUCCUGACUCAGGCUCCAACAGCUCGGUCUGUUCAGCUGGGAGACGCUGUCUCUAUUAGCUGUACGGUCAGUCAGAGUGUUCUCGGUGGCAGCUACCUCAGCUGGUACCAGCAGAAACCUGCUCAGGCUCCUAAACUUCUGAUCUAUAGUGCCACUACUCGCCAGUCUGGGAUUCCUGAUCGUUUCAGUGGGAGUGGAUCUGGGACUCAGUUUACACUGAAAAUCACUGGAGUCCAGGCUGAAGAUGCAGGAGAUUAUUACUGUCAGAGUUACCACAGUGGUGAUGUGUACACUUUCGGUGGCGGCACGAAACUGUCAGUUGGACGUGACACAGUCCCCACCCUCACAGUCCUGCCCCCCUCCAGUGUGGAGGUGAAGCAGGGGAAGGCCACACUGGUGUGUCUGGCCAACAAGGGCUUCCCGUCAGACUGGACUCUGCGCUGGAAAGUGGACGGUACCAGUAGGAGCUCGGGCGUGGCCGGGAGCACCGGGGUCCUGGGGAAGGACGGCCUGUACAGCUGGAGCAGCUCCCUGACUCUCAGUGCGGACGACUGGAUGAAGGCGGGGUCACUGACCUGUGAGGCCACAAAGGGCUCCCAGUCUGCCCCCCCUCAGACACUGAGGAGAGCUGACUGUGCUGAGUAGGGCGGGUGCAGGCCCAGCUCACACACUCUGAUCACACUGUGUUUACCCUGCUCUGCUCUCAGCCUCUCUGCUCCUUACUGCUGCACACUGAGCUGGGCCUGUGUGUGAAUCCUUCCUCCAGCCUGAGCUGUCACUGCUAAUGUCUCACAUGUGCUCUGCUUGUGUCCUCAACAAAUAUGCAUACCUGCCUUCUUAUUUGUGUUUGUGUGAUUUUGGCAAUAGCUGUUAGAUAAAAGUCAUUGAAAUAAUAAAGAUUCUUUGAAAAGUUA